UCGAGAAUCUUCGGCAAUGGGCGAAAGCCUGACCGAGCGACGCCGCGUGUGGGAUGAAGGCCUUCGGGUUGUAAACCACUGUCGUAGAGGAGGAAAUUGGCCGGGGUUCUCCCCGGUUAUUGACCUAUUCUAGGAGGAAGGACGGGCUAAGUACGUGCCAGCAGCCGCGGUAAUACGUACCGUCCAAACGUUAUUCGGAAUUACUGGGCUUAAAGGGUUUGUAGGCGGCGCUGUUAGUCGGGUGUGAAAUCCCACGGCUCAACCGUGGAAUUGCGCCCGAUACUGCAGUGCUUGAGGGAGACAGAGGUAAGCGGAACUGAUGGUGGAGCGGUGAAAUGCGUUGAUAUCAUCAGGAACACCGGUGGCGAAAGCGGCUUACUGGGUCUCUUCUGACGCUGAGAAACGAAAGCUAGGGGAGCGAAGGG
RNAcentral lists this ribosomal RNA (425 nucleotides) under uncultured bacterium. RNAcentral describes it as "bacterial SSU rRNA". It matches the Rfam family "Bacterial small subunit ribosomal RNA", at positions 355 to 775 of the family's 1533-position model. The record is from RNAcentral.